Molecule: non-coding RNA, 123 nt
Filed under: Rhizobium sp.
Lineage: Bacteria; Pseudomonadati; Pseudomonadota; Alphaproteobacteria; Hyphomicrobiales; Rhizobiaceae
Also listed under: 1 other name
Description: TPP sequence
Rfam family: TPP riboswitch aptamer (THI element)
About the family: Vitamin B(1) in its active form thiamin pyrophosphate (TPP) is an essential coenzyme that is synthesised by coupling of pyrimidine and thiazole moieties in bacteria. The previously detected thiamin-regulatory element, thi box was extended, resulting in a new, highly conserved RNA secondary structure, the THI element, which is widely distributed in eubacteria and also occurs in some archaea.
Source: RNAcentral
CGCAUUCACCAGGGGGGUCCCGCAAGGGGCUGAGAGUCUGCUGAGCUUUUUCGAAAGCAGCGCAGUGACCCGUUGAACCUGAUCCAGUUCAUACUGGCGUAGGGACGGUGCGAGCGCUGCAAU